RNAcentral lists this ribosomal RNA (301 nucleotides) under uncultured bacterium. RNAcentral's name for it is "partial 16S ribosomal RNA". It matches the Rfam family "Bacterial small subunit ribosomal RNA", at positions 509 to 809 of the family's 1533-position model. The record is from RNAcentral.
CAGUAGCCGCGGGAAUACGGAGGGUGCAAGCGUUAUCCGGAUUUAUUGGGUUUAAAGGGUCCGUAGGCGGAUCUGUAAGUCAGUGGUGAAAUCUCACAGCUUAACUGUGAAACUGCCAUUGAUACUGCAGGUCUUGAGUAAAUUUGAAGUGGCUGGAAUAAGUAGUGUAGCGGUGAAAUGCAUAGAUAUUACUUAGAACACCAAUUGCGAAGGCAGGUCACUAAGAUUUAACUGACGCUGAUGGACGAAAGCGUGGGGAGCGAACAGGAUUAGAUACCCGUGUAGUCCCUGUCUCUUAUAA